AACGGCACAUGGGUUGUAUUUCUUGGGCCCCUUAUCAUUGCCUCAUAAUUAAUUCUGUGUUUAUAUGCACCCCUUUCCCUAACACUAUAUAUUCUUUGAAGGAAGUGGUGGUAGCAAUUAUAUUUAUAACUCCUAUGCCUCAUAGCUGGUGUCCACAUGUGUUGCCUAGACAGAGUAAAAGUUCAGCUAUCGACACAGGUUAUUCUUCUCUCCUGUUGCCUAUGCUUUCAGCCUUUGUGUGCGCGUUCAAGGAAAGACACACGUAGACACCCAUCAUGCAUGGCAUAAUUUCACUCUCUCUAACAGCCGCAUGCUCAACUUGGUCAAAUGCUCUUUAAUUAGCAAACUCUAAUCCAAGUCUACGUUACAGCUCUUUCAUGAUUUA
This 385-nucleotide long non-coding RNA is filed under the name Homo sapiens (human). RNAcentral describes it as "non-protein coding lnc-KLHL25-18:1". Lineage: Eukaryota; Metazoa; Chordata; Mammalia; Primates; Hominidae. The record is from RNAcentral.